This 993-nucleotide long non-coding RNA is filed under the name Salmo salar (Atlantic salmon). RNAcentral's name for it is "lncRNA (ENSSSAG00000113739.1)". Lineage: Eukaryota; Metazoa; Chordata; Actinopteri; Salmoniformes; Salmonidae. The record is from RNAcentral.
AGGUCAGGUUAUAAUCUGUAGCUAGAUCUAUUGUCUAAUAUUAUGACAGGUCAGGACAUAAUCUGUAGCUAGAUCUAUUGUCUAAUACUAUGACAGGUCAGGACAUAAUCUGCAGUUAGAUCUAUAGCCUCUAAUAUUAUGACAGGUCAGGUCAUAAUCUGUAGCUAGAUCUAUUGUCCAAUAUUAUGACAGGUCAGGACAUAAUCUGUACCUAGAUCUAUAGUCUAAUAUUAUGACAGGUCAGGUCAUAAUCUGUAGCUAGAUCUAUUGUCUCUCUAAUAUUAUGACAGGUCAGGACAUAAUCUGUAGCUAGAUCUAUAGUUUAAUAUUAUGACAGGUCAGGUCAUAAUCUGUAGCUAGAUCUAUAGUCUCUAAUAUUAUGACAGGUCAGGUUAUAAUCUGUAGCUAGAUCUAUUGUCUAAUAUUAUGACAUAAUCUGUAGCUAGAUCUAUUGUCUCUAAUACUAUGACAGGUCAGGACAUAAUCUGUAGUUAGAUCUAUUGUCUAAUAUCAUGACAGGUCAUGUCAUAAUCUGUAGCUAGAUCUAUAGUCUAAUAAUAUGACAGGUCAGGACAUAAUUUGUAGCUAGAUCUAUUGUCUAAUAUUAUGACAGGUUAGGACAUAAUCUGUAGCUAGAUCUAUUGUCUAAUAUUAUGACAUGUCAGGACAUAAUUUGUAGCUAGAUCUAUAGUCUAAUAUUAUGACAGGUCAGGAUAUAAUCUGUAGCUAGAUCUAUUGUCUCUCUAAUAUUAUGACAGGUCAGGACAUAAUCUGUAGCUAGAUCUAUUGUCUAAUAUUAUGACAGGUUAGGACAUAAUCUGUAGCUACAUCUAUUGUCUAAUGUUAUGACAGGUCAGGACAUAAUCUGUAGCUAGAUCUAUAGUGUACUAUUGUGACAGGUCAGGUCAUAAUCUGUAGCUAGAUCUAUAGUCUAAUACUAUGACAGGUCAGGACAUAAUCUGUAGCUAGAUCUAUUGUCUAAUAUUAUGACAG